UGGGGAAUUUUGGACAAUGGGGGCAACCCUGAUCCAGCAAUGCCGCGUGUGUGAAGAAGGCCUUCGGGUUGUAAAGCACUUUUGUCCGGGAAGAAAUCGCACCUGAUAAUACCGGGUGUGGAUGACGGUACCGGAAGAAUAAGGACCGGCUAACUACGUGCCAGCAGCCGCGGUAAUACGUAGGGUCCAAGCGUUAAUCGGAAUUGCUGGGCGUAAAGCGUGCGCAGGCGGUUGUGCAAGACCGAUGUGAAAUCCCCGGGCUUAACCUGGGAAUUGCAUUGGUGACUGCACGGCUAGAGUGUGUCAGAGGGGGGUAGAAUUCCACGUGUAGCAGUGAAAUGCGUAGAGAUGUGGAGGAAUACCGAUGGCGAAGGCAGCCCCCUGGGAUAACACUGACGCUCAUGCACGAAAGCGUGGGGAGCAAACAGG
RNAcentral lists this ribosomal RNA (429 nucleotides) under Bacillota bacterium. Its description in RNAcentral is "Firmicutes bacterium partial 16S ribosomal RNA". It matches the Rfam family "Bacterial small subunit ribosomal RNA", at positions 355 to 776 of the family's 1533-position model. Lineage: Bacteria; Bacillati; Bacillota. The record is from RNAcentral.